RNAcentral lists this ribosomal RNA (422 nucleotides) under Verrucomicrobiota bacterium. RNAcentral's name for it is "Verrucomicrobia bacterium partial 16S ribosomal RNA". It matches the Rfam family "Bacterial small subunit ribosomal RNA", at positions 355 to 776 of the family's 1533-position model. The record is from RNAcentral. Lineage: Bacteria; Pseudomonadati; Verrucomicrobiota.
UGGGGAAUUUUGCACAAUGGGCGCAAGCCUGAUGCAGCGACGCCGCGUGAGGGAUGAAGGCCUUCGGGUUGUAAACCUUUUUCGCUCAUGGUCAAGCCGCAGCUUUGGGUUGUGGUGAGGGUAGCGGGUAAAGAAGCGCCGGCUAACUACGUGCCAGCAGCCGCGGUAAUACGAAGGGCGCGAGCGUUGUCCGGAAUUAUUGGGCGUAAAGGGCUUGUAGGCGGGUGGCCGCGUCUGCCGUGAAAUCCUCUGGCUUAACUGGGGGCGUGCGGUGGGGACGGGUUGACUUGAGUGCGGUAGGGGAGACGGGAAUUCCUGGUGUAGCGGUGGAAUGCGCAGAUAUCAGGAAGAACACCGGUGGCGAAGGCGGGUUUCUGGGCCGUUACUGACGCUGAGGGGCGAAAGCGUGGGGAGCGAACAGG